UGCAAGUCGAGUGCGCGUUUCUGUAGCGAUACAGGAAUGGCGCACGGCGCACGGGUGCGUAACACGUGGGUAAUCUGCCCUCUGAUGGGGAAUAACCCGCCGAAAGGCGGGCUAAUUCCGCAUAACAUUCCUUGGACUCCGGUUCGAGGACUCAAAGGCGUAAGUCGUCGGAGGUGGAGCCCGCGCCCGAUUAGCUAGUUGGUGAGGUAACGGCUCACCAAGGCAAUGAUCGGUAGCUGGUCUGAGAGGAUGGCCAGCCACACUGGAACUGAGACACGGUCCAGACUCCUACGGGAGGCAGCAGUGGGGAAUCUUGCACAAUGGGCGAAAGCCUGAUGCAGCGACGCCGCGUGGGGGAUGAAGCUUCUCGGAGUGUAAACCCCUUUCGACCCGGACGAAUGCCCCGCAAGGGGAGUGACGGUACGGGUAUAAGAAGCCCCGGCUAACUACGUGCCAGCAGCCGCGGUAAGACGUAGGGGGCCAGCGUUGUUCGGAAUUACUGGGUGUAAAGGGUUCGUAGGCGGUGUAGCAAGUUGGGAGUGAAAUCUCUGGGCUCAACUCAGAGGCUGCUUCCAAAACUGCUGUGCUGGAGUGUGGGAGAGGCGCGUGGAAUUGCAGGUGUAGCGGUGAAAUGCGUAGAUAUCUGCAGGAACACCCGUGGCGAAAGCGGCGCGCUGGACCACUACUGACGCUGAGAACGAAAGCUAGGGGAGCAAACAGGAUUAGAUACCCUGGUAGUCCUAGCCCUAAACGAUCAGGACUUGGGGGUGCCACCCGUUCGGGUGUCGUCCCGGAGCUAACGCGUUAAGUCCUGCACCUGGGGAGUACGGUCGCAAGACUGAAACUCAAAGGA
Molecule: ribosomal RNA, 853 nt
Filed under: uncultured bacterium
Lineage: Bacteria
Description: bacterial SSU rRNA
Rfam family: Bacterial small subunit ribosomal RNA
Source: RNAcentral